CAGCACCAACUAUUAAGUAUUGCAAUAAUAUUUUCAAAACAUACAAAAAAUAAUUUUAUAAAAAACCUAAAUUUUCACAUUGUUGCAUAAAACUUUUUAUGUCAAGAUCAGCACAACGUUUCUUAAACUAACCACAAUCAUGCAGAACCAAAAACUUACUUCAUAAGGUAUGAAAGUAUUUUAGAAUCUUAGUAUAAAACCAACAGUAGCAAAAUAUUUAAUUUGAAAUUAUAAAAAUUACCCAAUAGAUAUAAACCUCAUCGCGGUUGUUAUCGAUUAUUUCUUUCAUCCAUAAAGUCUCCAAAAAUGAUACAUGUUAGUAUCCACAAAUUAUUUGACUUCAUGGGGUUGAUCUUCACUUGAGGCCAGCAGACAUAACUAUCUCAUCAUGAAUAGAUGAUUUGAACACAAGAACCUUCAUGUUAGUAGCCUUACUGAGGAAACUUUCGAGAACAUUGAAUGUCUCUUUUGUUGAUCAUUCUUAAAGGUAAAGUAAAGACUUACGGGACUACCUCAUUAUAAGGAAACCACCGAUCACUGGAGAAUUGACUUUCAGUUGAAUAACUUGACAUUUGAUCCUUUUUUAUCAUCCGUAAUUUCAUGAUAUGGAUAUGAAAUUUCCUGAUAUUUCAAGUGUCAUGGUAGUUUGAUACUGAACUCAAGUUGUAACUCUGUAGAAGUAUGAGUGAAAGAAAUGAAAGCAUUAAAAUAAAAAAUACUAUACUAUCAAAAAGAGACGAUGUACCAAUAAAAUAUAACUUUUAUUGUCAGAAAGCGUCAAAGUUAUAAAAAACACAAUGACAAAAAUCAAAAUUGAUCUCAAAAGAAUAUCUGUAUAAAUUUACAGAGAAUCUUAACCUAAUUUUUGUAUAUAUUGUAGCUCCAUAAGUUGUAUUUCAAACGGCACAAACAGAUCAUAGUUUUGACAUGUUUGCAAAAAGAUAUAAUUUUUUUAGUGAGGACGCGUAAAGGAUACCAAUAUAUGUUAAAUAAAUUCAAAAGCAUAUAUUUAUGAAUAUACAAAGAAUCUAGAUCUGUUUUUUGUAUAUAUUUGGUUCUCGAAGAGCUCUUUUCAACGGCACAAGCGAAUCAUGAUUUUGAGGCAUCUACAAAAAGAUAUAACUUUUUUAGUCAAGACGUGUUGUUUCUAAAAAUUUCAUCAUUCAUGGGUAGAAUUAUUUGAGGAAAGAAGGAUUGAGAAGAAAGAAAGUGUAAAGAAAAGAGAUGUGACCUCUUCUGUGACCUAACUUCAUGAGGUUGAUAAAAUGGUGUAUCUCCACGCCAAAAUUGUCUACUUCAACAUCUGAUGAAAGUUGAAAACAAUAGAUUUGUUGGCAGGGAUAAAAGUCACUAAAUUAAAUAAUUAUUUUCUUGAUAGGUUGAAUGUCUAUAAGAAUAAGUUAUGGCCGUCCAUUAGAAUUAUUAUUUCAAGCCCACAUUUGAAAAGACAAACUGGUGGUUUUAUUUUUCUUUUCCUACUUCAUUGUAA
Molecule: long non-coding RNA, 1489 nt
Filed under: Nicotiana benthamiana
Lineage: Eukaryota; Viridiplantae; Streptophyta; Magnoliopsida; Solanales; Solanaceae
Description: long non-coding RNA (NBEN_LNC008406)
Source: RNAcentral